Molecule: ribosomal RNA, 497 nt
Filed under: uncultured bacterium
Lineage: Bacteria
Description: partial 16S ribosomal RNA
Rfam family: Bacterial small subunit ribosomal RNA
Source: RNAcentral
GAUGAACGCUGGCGGCGUGCCUAACACAUGCAAGUCGAACGGACAGACACUGAGCUUGUGCCUUUCUCGUUAGCGGAAGGCGGGUGUGUCACGCGUGUAUCCUCUCCUUGUCUUUCUGGGAUAAUUACGGAACUGCGGCUAUUAUACCAGAUCACAUCCUGCACCGCAUGGGGCAAUGGAGAAUGGCGGCUUUCGUGUAUGGACUCGCUGGUUCCGCGCCGUAUUAGCUAGUUGGUAGGGUAACGGCCUAUCAAGGCUACGAUACGUGGCCGAGCUGAGAGGGUGAUCGGCCACACUGGAACUGAGCCACGGUCCAGACUCCUACGGGAGGCAGCAGUAGGGAAUCGUCGGCAAUGGGCGAAAGCCUGACGGAGCAACGGCGCGUGAGUGACGAAGGCCUUCGGUUCGUAAAGCUCUCUUAUCGGGGAAGAACAGCUGUGGAAUGAACCGUAGACAUCGUGACGGUACCUGAUCAAAAAGCACCGGCUAACUACGUG